GAUGAAGAACGUAGCGAAAUGCGAUACGUAGUGUGAAUUGCAGAAUUCCGUGAACCAUCAAAUCUUUGAACGCAUAUUGCGCUCGAGGCUUCGGCCGAGAGCAUGUCUGCCUCAGCGUCGGUAUUACCCCUCGCUUCUCAACCCCUGGUUGAUGCCUGCCUGCCUUUGCAGUUGGCUAGAAGCGGAUCUGGCUUUCCCAAUUGCCUUUGGUAGUUGGGUCAGCUGAAGCACAGAGGCGUGAGCAAGGACCCUUAUUGGGCUUCAACUGGAUAGGUAGAACUGGUCUUAGGACCAACUACACGAAGUUGUUGCUUGUGGUCUUUUGUCUGGAGGCCAGCAGGAAUCCUUUAUACCUUCGACCUGAGCUCAGGCAAGAUUACCCGCUGAACUUAAGCAUAUCAAUAAGCGGAGGA
This 413-nucleotide unclassified non-coding RNA is filed under the name soil metagenome. RNAcentral's name for it is "partial contains 5.8S ribosomal RNA, internal transcribed spacer 2, and large subunit ribosomal RNA". The stretch from base 1 to 120 matches the Rfam family "5.8S ribosomal RNA", at positions 35 to 154 of the family's 154-position model. The record is from RNAcentral.